AGAGCGAACGCUGGCGGCAGGCCUAACACAUGCAAGUCGAGCGCGUGUAGCAAUACACGAGCGGCAGACGGGAGAGUAACACGUGGGAACGCGCCCUUCGGUUCGGAAUAACUCAGGGAAACUUGAGCUAAUACCGGAUACGCCCUUACGGGGAAAGAUUUAUUGCCGAAGGAACGGCCCGCGUCCGAUUAGCUAGUUGGUGAGGUAACGGCUCACCAAGGCGACGAUCGGUAGCUGGUCUGAGAGGAUGACCAGCCUCACUGGGACUGAGACACGGCCCAGACUCCUACGGGAGGCAGCAGUGGGGAAUAUGGACAAUGGGCGCAAGCCUGAUCCAGCCAUGCCGCGUGGAUGAUGAAGGCCUUAGGGUUGUAAAGUCUUUAACGGGAGAUAAUGACGGUACCGUAGAAUAAGCCCGGCUAACUUCGUGCCAGCAGCCGC
This 441-nucleotide ribosomal RNA is filed under the name uncultured bacterium. Its description in RNAcentral is "SSU rRNA". It matches the Rfam family "Bacterial small subunit ribosomal RNA", at positions 26 to 518 of the family's 1533-position model. The record is from RNAcentral.